AGGGUAACACGACAAAAAACCCUAAAGAACAGAAGAAAUGGGUCUGAGUGCUCGACUGGGGUUUGGGGGUAAACUGAAAAACUGGACUGCAUGGGUGAUCAAUAGGCUUCCUAAUGGCGAUCGGGGAGAUCUCAAUCAACCAAAACAGAGGCUUCCUUCAAUUUUUCGUUGGGUUUGCUCUAUCACUGGAGAACCGAUCUGGUAUUGAGAGUUUGGCUUCACUUCAGUCCCUCCCUUCAGACAAGGAUAAAGAUAUGAAGGCUUGAAGGGUUGUGACGAGGCGUUGUUGUUGGUCGACGACGAAGCGGUUGGCAGUGUUGAUCAUGGCAUCGAUUACGAUACACCCUUCACCACACGCUCAUGACUCUCCUGGGGUUUAAAGAUUGCUCCUCCUUUUUGGGUUUUUGAUUAACAGCAAAAAGGUGGGUACUCGCUCUGUUCUUGUGCUUUAAUGGCUUUUGAAUCAAGUGGGCUUUGGAUUGUCUGGUUUGCGGCUUAUGGCAAUGUCGAGUUGUGAGUGAGAAAGAGAGAAGUGUUUGGUGAAUUGUAAUUGGGUUGGAGUUUUUUGUCUCUUUUUGUCUUUAUUUUUCAUCUUGAAUUGAAAUAGGGAGGGAGGCAAAGAUAUGCCUCGAUUCAAUUAGCUGCAUUUUUGCCUAUAAAAUUUACCAAACAUGGCUUCAGUAAUUGCCACCAAAUCUUGCCUCUAUUCAAUUAGCCAGGUACGUCCCUUUCUCAAUGAGCUUUCAUUUCAGUUCAAUGAUGUUUAUGUUCUGUAUUUCAAUACCAAAUAAUACUGGUUUUCUUUUCUUUUCUGUGUAUGGAUAUGUGAUCAAUGGAUGUUUGACGCUGCAAGUUAAUAAUUUCGUCAGGCUUUCAGUAGGGAGCUUUAGCACCUGCAAGACCAUAUAUGCUUUUAUUAAAUUCGAUACAUUCAUACAGAGAACCAAGAAAUUGUACCAGGACACUUGUACUCAGCGGACUAUUUCAAAGUUGAAUAAUGAACUCUAUGAAGUCCACCAAAUAAUGACUUGCAAUGUUCAGGAAGUUCUUGGCGUCGGUGAAAAGUUGGACUAGGUCAGCCAAAUGUCUAAUCGUUUAACAUCAAAGUCUCGUGCAUAUGCAGAUAAGGCAAGAGACUUGAAUCAACAGGCUCUGAUCCGUAAGUGGGCUCCUGUUGCCAUGCUAUGCAGGUGCUAAAGCUCUCUACAAAAUAUCUAAAAGAGGACUUUCAUUUCUAGUGACGAGUUCCAAGUGCAAGGGAAGAAGAGAUUCCAAGAUUUAGGGAAGUGAUCAAGAGGAUGCCAAAAACAAAAUUGAGGAGGAUCCCUAAACUCUUUUGAAUUAGUAUAUAGUAUUGAUAUAACUACUUUGAAUUAUUACUUAUUGUAAGGG
RNAcentral lists this long non-coding RNA (1392 nucleotides) under Rosa chinensis. RNAcentral's name for it is "sRNA RchiOBHm_Chr2g0129931". The record is from RNAcentral. Lineage: Eukaryota; Viridiplantae; Streptophyta; Magnoliopsida; Rosales; Rosaceae.